This 253-nucleotide ribosomal RNA is filed under the name uncultured bacterium. RNAcentral describes it as "partial 16S ribosomal RNA". It matches the Rfam family "Bacterial small subunit ribosomal RNA", at positions 524 to 776 of the family's 1533-position model. The record is from RNAcentral.
GACAGAGGAGCCAAGCGUUGUCCGGAUUGACUGGGCGUAAAGCGCACGCAGGCGGCUCUGUGCGUGGGGUGUGAAAGCUCUUGGCUUAACUAAGAGAGGCCAUCCCAUACGGCAGAGCUCGAGCCAUGCAGAGGUCCGCGGAAUUGCCGGUGUAGUGGUGAAAUGCGUAGAGAUCGGCAGGAACACCCAGGGGGAAACCAGCGGACUGGGCAUGAGCUGACGCUCAGGUGCGACAGCGUGGGGAGCGAACCAG